GGCAUAUCAAUAAGCGGAGGAAAAGAAACCAACAGGGAUUGCCCCAGUAACGGCGAGUGAAGCGGCAACAGCUCAAAUUUGAAAUCUGGCCCCAGGCCCGAGUUGUAAUUUGCAGAGGAUGCUUUUGGCGCGGUGCCUUCCGAGUUCCCUGGAACGGGACGCCAUAGAGGGUGAGAGCCCCGUACGGUUGGACACCAAGCCUUUGUAAAGCUCCUUCGACGAGUCGAGUAGUUUGGGAAUGCUGCUCUAAAUGGGAGGUACAUUUCUUCUAAAGCUAAAUAUUGGCCAGAGACCGAUAGCGCACAAGUAGAGUGAUCGAAAGAUGAAAAGCACUUUGAAAAGAGGGUUAAACAGCACGUGAAAUUGUUAAAAGGGAAGCGCUUGUGACCAGACUUGCGUCCGGUGAAUCACCCAGCUCUCGCGGCUGGGGCACUUCGCCGGCACAGGCCAGCAUCAGCUUGCCGUCGGGGACAAAAGCUUCAGGAACGUGGCUCCUCUCGGGGAGUGUUAUAGCCUGUUGCAUAAUACCCUUCGGCGGGCUGAGGUACGCGCUCCGCAAGGAUGCUGGCGUAAUGGUCAUCAGCGACCCGUCUUGAAACACGGACCAAGGAGUCAACCUUAUGUGCGAGUGUUUGGGUGUUAAACCCCUACGCGUAAUGAAAGUGAACGCAGGUGAGAGCUUCGGCGCAUCAUCGACCGAUCCUGAUGUUCUCGGAUGGAUUUGAGUAAGAGCAUAUAGGGUUGGACCCGAAAGAAGGUGAACUAUGCGUGUGUAGGGUGAAGCCAGAGGAAACUCUGGUGGAGGCUCGCAGCGGUUCUGACGUGCAAAUCGAUCGUCAAACAUGCGCAUGGGGGCGAAAGACUAAUCGAACCUUCUAGUAGCUGGUUUCCGCG
This 894-nucleotide ribosomal RNA is filed under the name Colletotrichum godetiae. RNAcentral describes it as "LSU rRNA". It matches the Rfam family "Eukaryotic large subunit ribosomal RNA", at positions 37 to 962 of the family's 3401-position model. The record is from RNAcentral. Lineage: Eukaryota; Fungi; Ascomycota; Sordariomycetes; Glomerellales; Glomerellaceae.